AUGGGUUACUGCAAACAUUGCAAGAACUUGGGGGGAAAGUUGCCAUAUUUGUUCUUUGGCACCCUGGAAUCGACGUGCGGGCGGGCGCGCGCGCGCACACACACACUCCCACCCUUGCCCAGCACGCCCGGAGAAAACAUCUCUAGACGGUGGAGGCACUGUCUUCAAGUCCCUGUCGACCCACCCCCUUCGCCCAACCAUCACCCUCCUGCAGCUCCGCGACCCACUCACCCUCCCACGGCAUCCCCUAGGCUCCGCGACGGACAGACGCAAGCACACACCCUCCGAGCGUCUGCGCGCCCGCCGCGCCGGAGGGGGCUCCGCGGUCUGCGCCGGCCGCCACGCGGCGCGGGGCAACUGGGAAAAAAAGUUCUGCUCAGACUACCAGUGAGCCGACCGACCACCAGCCGACCCGGGCGCCGACCCCCUGCUCCUUACCUCGGUCUGGGGGCCACGGGAGCGCGCCGGUCCCGUCCGCACUGCAGCCAGCUGGAAGGAGCACCUCUCCUGCCGGCCAGCUCCCUCCGGCCCCUCCCCGCCCCCCACGGGUGUUUGCCCGGCGGCAAAGCGGGCUCUUCCAGGUGGUGAAACCUACGUACAGAUCAGUCAGGGUAUCUGCUGGAUGGAACCAAGCUUGAAAGUGGUGGGUGCAGAUUGGAACCAAUACUUCAUCUGCAAGGCUUGGGCUCUAAGCCAAGGCUUCAAUGAAGAGAUCAGCAGAUGAAUUCUCCCCUCAAAGGUGUGACAGCGUCACCAGGAAGUGGUGAAUUUUCACAGAGUGGGACUUGGUUAGAGGAGAAGAAAGUCCCAAUGGGUCAAAAAUGGAGGUUGUUGAAGUUUUUUUGUUUUUUUGUUUGUUUGUUUGUUUGUUUUUUGCUGCAGAUACAAUUAUUCACUUGAUGAAGGAAGAUGAGUAAUAGGGCUCUCAGCCUGAGGUCUAGGUUACUUCUUACUUCCUCCCACCUGGAUUAACUUCAGGAAGGUGCAACUUAUGUAGCUGCAGGGCCCUAGGCUCAGAAGGGCUCCAUGCUUGGUUUAAGAUUCUACUGUUAUUGCUUGAAAUUCUUGAAAAUUAUGUCUUUGAACCUGUGUUUUGUAAGUGAAGUCUAUGGGAUAAUAGAGAAUGUGUGUGCCCAUCCAUCGUUCCUGCCCCCACAAUGCUGGCAGUAGCCCAGGAGUACAGAAUUCCAGUGGGAGCUCAGCGAGACUCACGGUAAGUAGAAUGGAAAGUAAGCCUAUGACUACGCAGAUGGGGACACGGACAGUGCCCAGAGGUCAUGCUUUCUGUUUGAACCAGCUGCUUCAAAUGCAGAAGGAAGGCAAUGGAGUUCUAAGAAACACUAAUGACUAAGGGACCCUAGAGUAGCAUUUCUUACUUAUGUUCCUUCCCUGUAUUUGCCAAACACCCAUGCUGAAAAUGAUGACGCAGAAGGAAAGGUGAAGAUACAGCAAUCCAUACCUAUUUCUCCUCAACAGCAAGCUGAAGGUGGAGAGUGCUGGUACAAAGCGCUUGUAUCAAGAAGUGAAAUAAAAACAGUGGAGUGCAUUUUGUCAGCAUCUCCACUGUUCUGGUAAGAAUGAAAUACCUAUGCAUAUACGACCUAUGAAAUGUGAAUUGUGUAAUUUCGAUGUUCUACAAAUGAGUUAAAUGCUCUUGUGUUUACAUUUACAACUGGCAUCACAUAAUAUGAAUGUAUUAUUCAUAUGUGAUGAAUAGUAAAAUUCAUGCUAAAAACUUAAAAUUUUUAUUUUUAUUUAGCACCACAUAAAAAAGAGCAAAUAAAAAACCACCAUGAUGAUUCUAGAGAUAGACUGUGGAAGAAAGACAAAGGCAUUAUAUGUAGGCACUUUCUUCCUGCUUUUUGAACAAGGGGCCCUACAUGUUCAUUUUGUGCCAGGCCCCAUGAAUUUUAUAACCGGCUCUGCCCCUGCCCCUAGGUUUCUUUUGAGAAACAGGGCAAGCGCCAGGGCUCAUCAAAGGUGAUGAAGAUAAAAGUUGGACUUCAUUCUUGCCAUAAAUGAGUAGACACCUGCUUGCCGAAACGCUCUCCAACGUCGCGUGAAGGGGCAACUGACACUCCUGAAUGAAUAUGAGGAAACCCAAGGCAAAUUCAGGUUCACCACAUACACUCAGGGACAUCAGGUCCACCCCUAAACUGGAUGAGGCAUGUCUCAACUGGCAUCUUCAGACUUGACAUACAGGAAGAAGGUCUGUUUCCUUGUGUUUGUGGCUCAUGAGCCGACAUGGGCUCUCAUGGGCUCCCAUGUGGAGAGAACUCUGGGUACCCACAUACAUAUUGUUGUGGUCUUUGCACAUAUGUGUGCAUGUACACUGCACAUACAUGUCUGCAUGUGACAGGUGCCUGGGCACCUGCUAGAACCUGAGGGAGGCGGUCUUUUCAUGGAUCUCCGGGGGGGAAGGCUGAUGGACAUGAAAUACUUUUUAGGUGCUAUCCUUCUGGAACUUGGUCCCCAGAAAACCACAGCUGACAGUAAAGAGAGAUACGGACGGUCUUGGAGGACUAUGGAGAGCAGAUGGCUAUAAUUCCAGGACCAGAUUUUUUUUUUUCUUGUAACCACUUCCCCCACAACCUUUACACCAAAGGGAGACAAACACUUGUUGACUUAAGCAAAAAACAGAAACAAUUUCCUUCUGAGAAGUGCAACACAAAGAAACCUGAUGCUUUUUGGGCUGUGGAAGACUCCCCAUCCCCCUUCUUGGAGCAGGACCUUCAGUGAUGGGGACAGUGGGUGUCGGGCCAGCUGGCCUGGUUUUACUUCACACCAGGAGAUCCAGGGAACGAGCCACCAUCCUCUCUGCUUUAUUUAGUGAGACAGCACUUCAUAGCAACAGUAGGCUUAAUCACAGUCUAUACCCACAUUUCACUUCCCAUUUCUAUGCCUACUCCUUGCCUUUUGGUUAUUUGGGGUGGGGGGUGGCAAUGGCAUGCUGAUUCUAUCUUCCAAGCACCCUCCCCAAAUCUCCUACUUCCCUGCUGGAAAGGAUUCCCUUCUCAUGUUAAUUUGAUGACCCAGCCAGCUGCACCUCUCCACCCCCGCACCCCCAGCACAAAAGAAAAAGCCACUACCUUACUCCUUCAGAAUUACAUUCCCGCUCAGGUGGUCUUCUUAACUACCAGCCCAGUCCAAAGAACCCUCGUCAUAUUUCCGGGUUCAUCUGAACCAGACAUUCAAGUAGUGCCCCCACAUGGAUAUUUAAGGACCAUGGAGGAGGGGGUAUUCCCUCCUCCCCCUGUGUUCCACCUCCCAGAAGUGGCUGCUUUUCAGAGUGGAGGUGAUUCAGCUUUCCUAGAAGAUCAUUUGCAGGGGAAAAAAAUUUACAGUACUACAGCUGAGAGUGCUGCCUGCUUCCCUCGAUGAAAAAAAAUCCUGCUCUCAGACACAUGGAAUUCCCAUUGAUGAGGUUUGGCCAACACCAGGCACUGGAUUUUCCCUAUUAAACUUAAAGCUCAGGGUGAAAGAUGCAGGGGUGGGAGAAGGGAUAACGAUACCUUUUCAACCUUUUCAGCCCUCUGGGGGAUUUGAACUUUGGCCCCCAAGGUCUAAUGGCUGAUGUUCAAAAGCCCCCCGCCCUCCAUCCCUCCACCUCUCUUCCCCAAGCUCCUUCCUAACAAAGAAUGAUUCUCUUUGCUACACACAAUAAAGCCCUGGUGGAUUUACCCAGAUUAAAAAACCCCUUGAAGUCCCUGUCAAAACUAAUCUUCUCAGGAGAAACACUUGUUGAUAACCACCUCGCUUUGUGCUGUAGCAGGGAGGAGCUGGGAGGACCAGAACCCAGCAGAGAAACUGGCUUGUGACCUCCCUAUCGUCACAUGGCCCCAGGCACGAUACAAUCCCUGACCUCAGAGAACGCCCCUCCUCCCACGACACACAAAUAUUCUGCAAGCCCCCGCCCCAUUUAGCUUCUCCACCUCAAGCUCCCUCUGUAACACCACCAGCCCCUCAAAGCAGGAAGGCCAACCCUGUAGGUCCCCAGACCGACAGACCCUGGCUGAGCUCCAGCCUUUCCCUCCUUCUCUGCCGCCCCCGAGCUUUAACUCUUCACCCUGCAGGGCCCAGCCUCUCUUGUUUUUCCUGCUGCAAACUUUGUCAGGAGCCUUUUCAGGCGGUUUUCCUCUAUACAACCAGCCCUUAAGAUAUCAUGCAUAAAGAUUUCCCUCUACAGGUGGUUGUGAGCUGUAGCAGUUUUUGCUCUUGCAAUGGAAACAUUUAUUUUAAAUUUCAUUUUACCCACAAAUAAGCUUUUAAACAAAAAUUAUUUUACUUACACCCACUAAAGACUUAGCAUUUUCUCCAAAUAGUGGGGAGAAGAUUAAGUUCUCUAUGCAAGACAUGUUACCACUCCCAUCACCACCACCAUACCCUGAUUCUUCAUCUCCCCGACUCUCCCCACUUUGCUCUGACUUCAUGAAGCCUUUUUGGAACUAAAUUUUCAUGUGCAAAAUAAUUACAAGAAUUAAGACACUCAGUGAAUGAGAAUCAAUCCACGAUACGGCCAAGUGGCAGAAGCACAUGCCCACUACAGAAUACCCCUCCACCUUCCACCCCCAAACCACAGAACACUAGGGUGGGGGAAGCCAAGACGGCACCCCCUCCCCAGCUUAACAACAGAGGACUGUCUUCCAGCUGGCUUGCCUCCUGCAAAAACCACACACACAAGACCCCAGGAAAGCCUGCCCAAGAAGUCUAGGCAAUUUGUACAAAGAUAAUUGUUCAAUGAAAACGACAGUAAUCAUGGUCAGUCAUACAAAUCUACUCCUCCAAACAUUCACCAACUGACAUCAUAAACUUUGCAAAAGCCAAACACAAGACAGUGCAUGGUAUAACCUACCUUGGCGAGCUCCUUCACUUUUUGUGCAAAUGUUUUCCCCUCCGCAUGCUUUACAUAGAUUUCUAGGGAAAUUUGGAAGGACUGGUGAGGGGGUGGGGGGUGGUGAGGGAAUGAGGGUAAUAUAAAUAAGGAAGCAUUUUAAAUGCACCACGCAAAAAGCUCGGGAUUUCACGUUAUGUGUCUGCACUCUUCCCGGAGCAAAGCAAAACAGUUCGCGUUCAGUGCCAGACUUGGAGGGAGAGACAGAAGAGAGAGGGUGGGGGAGAGAGGGAGGGGAUGAGAGGGAGGAAAGAGAGGGAGGGGGAGAGAGAAAAAGAGGGUGGGGGGAUGCUGAAGGAGAGAGGGAGAAGAAGAGAAAGAAAGAGGAAAUGAGAGAGGAAUAGAGGUGAGGGGAGAGGGAGGGAGGGAGAAGAAAGGAGGGGGAGAGCCAAAAGGAAGGAGGAGAAAGAGGAGGCAGCCCCCUCCCACGCUCCCACCCCCACACAUUCAGGCACCUUCUGAGUAACUGAUCAGAGCAAAGAACUCAUCUCCCACGUUUAAAAACCCC
This 5399-nucleotide long non-coding RNA is filed under the name Macaca fascicularis (crab-eating macaque). RNAcentral's name for it is "lncRNA (ENSMFAG00000060088.1)". Lineage: Eukaryota; Metazoa; Chordata; Mammalia; Primates; Cercopithecidae. The record is from RNAcentral.